AACGAACGCUGGCGGCAGGCCUAACACAUGCAAGUCGAGCGAGAACUUCGGUUCUAGCGGCGGACGGGUUAGUAACGCGUGGGAAUCUACCCAUCCCUACGGAACAACUCCGGGAAACUGGAGCUAAUACCGUAUACGCCCUACGGGGGAAAGAUUUAUCGGGGAUGGAUGAGCCCGCGUUGGAUUAGCUAGUUGGUGGGGUAAUGGCCUACCAAGGCGACGAUCCAUAGCUGGUCUGAGAGGAUGAUCAGCCACAUUGGGACUGAGACACGGCCCAAACUCCUACGGGAGGCAGCAGUGGGGAAUAUUGGACAAUGGGCGAAAGCCUGAUCCAGCCAUGCCGCGUGAGUGAUGAAGGCCCUAGGGUUGUAAAGCUCUUUCAACGGUGAAGAUAAUGACGGUAACCGUAGAAGAAGCCCCGGCUAACUUCGUGCCAGCCGCCGCAGUAAAAC
RNAcentral lists this ribosomal RNA (452 nucleotides) under uncultured bacterium. Its description in RNAcentral is "bacterial SSU rRNA". It matches the Rfam family "Bacterial small subunit ribosomal RNA", at positions 29 to 526 of the family's 1533-position model. The record is from RNAcentral.